RNAcentral lists this ribosomal RNA (519 nucleotides) under uncultured bacterium. RNAcentral's name for it is "bacterial SSU rRNA". It matches the Rfam family "Bacterial small subunit ribosomal RNA", at positions 27 to 518 of the family's 1533-position model. The record is from RNAcentral.
GGACGAACGCUGGCGGCGUGCCUAAUACAUGCAAGUCGAACGGUCUUUCUAUGGAAGCUUGCUUCCACUGAGAAGAUAGUGGCGAACGGGUGAGUAACACGUGGGUAACCUGCCCAUAAGAGGGGGGAUAACAUCCGGAAACGGGUGCUAAUACCGCAUAGUUUUCUUGAUCGCAUGAUCGGGAAAGGAAAGACGGCCUUUGUGCUGUCGCUUAUGGAUGGACCCGCGGCGUAUUAGUUAGUUGGUGAGGUAACGGCUCACCAAGACGAUGAUACGUAGCCGACCUGAGAGGGUGAUCGGCCACAUUGGGACUGAGACACGGCCCAAACUCCUACGGGAGGCAGCAGUAGGGAAUCUUCCGCAAUGGACGAAAGUCUGACGGAGCAACGCCGCGUGAGUGAAGAAAGGUUUUCGGAUCGUAAAACUCUGUUGUCAGAGAAGAACAAGUUGGAGAGUAACUGCUCCAGCCUUGACGGUAUCUGACCAGAAAGCCACGGCUAACUACGUGCCAGCCGCGGC